GCUUUGAUCCAGAGAUUUCCGAAUGGGGAAACCCAGCAUGAGUUAUGUCAUGUUAUCGAUAUGUGAAUACAUAGCAUAUCAGAAGGCACACCCGGAGAACUGAAACAUCUUAGUACCCGGAGGAAGAGAAAGAAAAUUCGAUUCCCUUAGUAGCGGCGAGCGAAACGGGAAGAGCCCAAACCAACAAGCUUGCUUGUUGGGGUUGUAGGACACUCUAUACGGAGUUACAAAGGACGACAUUAGACGAAUCAUCUGGAAAGAUGAAUCAAAGAAGGUAAUAAUCCUGUAGUCGAAAAUGUUGUCUCUCUUGAGUGGAUCCUGAGUACGACGGAGCACGUGAAAUUCCGUCGGAAUCUGGGAGGACCAUCUCCUAAGGCUAAAUACUCUCUAGUGACCGAUAGUGAACCAGUACCGUGAGGGAAAGGUGAAAAGCACCCCGGAAGGGGAGUGAAAUAGAACCUGAAACCGUGUGCUUACAAGUAGUCAGAGCCCGUUAAUGGGUGAUGGCGUGCCUUUUGUAGAAUGAACCGGCGAGUUACGAUUUGAUGCAAGGUUAAGCAGUAAAUGUGGAGCCGUAGCGAAAGCGAGUCUGAAUAGGGCGUUUAGUAUUUGGUCGUAGACCCGAAACCAGGUGAUCUACCCUUGGUCAGGUUGAAGUUCAGGUAACACUGAAUGGAGGACCGAACCGACUUACGUUGAAAAGUGAGCGGAUGAACUGAGGGUAGCGGAGAAAUUCCAAUCGAACCUGGAGAUAGCUGGUUCUCUCCGAAAUAGCUUUAGGGCUAGCCUCAAGUGAUGAUUAUUGGAGGUAGAGCACUGUUUGGACGAGGGGCCCCUCUCGGGUUACCGAAUUCAGACAAACUCCGAAUGCCAAUUAAUUUAACUUGGGAGUCAGAACAUGGGUGAUAAGGUCCGUGUUCGAAAGGGAAACAGCCCAGACCACCAGCUAAGGUCCCAAAAUAUAUGUUAAGUGGAAAAGGAUGUGGCGUUGCCCAGACAACUAGGAUGUUGGCUUAGAAGCAGCCAUCAUUUAAAGAGUGCGUAAUAGCUCACUAGUCGAGUGACACUGCGCCGAAAAUGUACCGGGGCUAAACAUAUUACCGAAGCUGUGGAUUGUCCUUUGGACAAUGGUAGGAGAGCGUUCUAAGGGCGUUGAAGCAUGAUCGUAAGGACAUGUGGAGCGCUUAGAAGUGAGAAUGCCGGUGUGAGUAGCGAAAGACGGGUGAGAAUCCCGUCCACCGAUUGACUAAGGUUUCCAGAGGAAGGCUCGUCCGCUCUGGGUUAGUCGGGUCCUAAGCUGAGGCCGACAGGCGUAGGCGAUGGAUAACAGGUUGAUAUUCCUGUACCACCUAUAAUCGUUUUAAUCGAUGGGGGGACGCAGUAGGAUAGGCGAAGCGUGCGAUUGGAUUGCACGUCUAAGCAGUAAGGCUGAGUAUUAGGCAAAUCCGGUACUCGUUAAGGCUGAGCUGUGAUGGGGAGAAGACAUUGUGUCUUCGAGUCGUUGAUUUCACACUGCCGAGAAAAGCCUCUAGAUAGAAAAUAGGUGCCCGUACCGCAAACCGACACAGGUAGUCAAGAUGAGAAUUCUAAGGUGAGCGAGCGAACUCUCGUUAAGGAACUCGGCAAAAUGACCCCGUAACUUCGGGAGAAGGGGUGCUCUUUAGGGUUAACGCCCAGAAGAGCCGCAGUGAAUAGGCCCAAGCGACUGUUUAUCAAAAACACAGGUCUCUGCUAAACCGUAAGGUGAUGUAUAGGGGCUGACGCCUGCCCGGUGCUGGAAGGUUAAGAGGAGUGGUUAGCUUCUGCGAAGCUACGAAUCGAAGCCCCAGUAAACGGCGGCCGUAACUAUAACGGUCCUAAGGUAGCGAAAUUCCUUGUCGGGUAAGUUCCGACCCGCACGAAAGGCGUAACGAUUUGGGCACUGUCUCAACGAGAGACUCGGUGAAAUCAUAGUACCUGUGAAGAUGCAGGUUACCCGCGACAGGACGGAAAGACCCCGUGGAGCUUUACUGUAGCCUGAUAUUGAAAUUCGGCACAGCUUGUACAGGAUAGGUAGGAGCCUUUGAAACGUGAGCGCUAGCUUACGUGGAGGCGCUGGUGGGAUACUACCCUAGCUGUGUUGGCUUUCUAACCCGCACCACUUAUCGUGGUGGGAGACAGUGUCAGGCGGGCAGUUUGACUGGGGCGGUCGCCUCCUAAAAGGUAACGGAGGCGCUCAAAGGUUCCCUCAGAAUGGUUGGAAAUCAUUCAUAGAGUGUAAAGGCAUAAGGGAGCUUGACUGCGAGACCUACAAGUCGAGCAGGGUCGAAAGACGGACUUAGUGAUCCGGUGGUUCCGCAUGGAAGGGCCAUCGCUCAACGGAUAAAAGCUACCCCGGGGAUAACAGGCUUAUCUCCCCCAAGAGUUCACAUCGACGGGGAGGUUUGGCACCUCGAUGUCGGCUCAUCGCAUCCUGGGGCUGUAGUCGGUCCCAAGGGUUGGGCUGUUCGCCCAUUAAAGCGGUACGCGAGCUGGGUUCAGAACGUCGUGAGACAGUUCGGUCCCUAUCCGUCGUGGGCGUAGGAAAUUUGAGAGGA
RNAcentral lists this ribosomal RNA (2576 nucleotides) under Staphylococcus aureus. RNAcentral describes it as "bacterial LSU rRNA". It matches the Rfam family "Bacterial large subunit ribosomal RNA", at positions 96 to 2670 of the family's 2925-position model. The record is from RNAcentral. Lineage: Bacteria; Bacillati; Bacillota; Bacilli; Caryophanales; Staphylococcaceae.